CAGCAGCCACGGGAAUACGUAGGGUGCGAGCGUUAAUCGGAAUUACUGGGCGUAAAGCGUGCGCAGGCGGUUUUGUAAGACAGGCGUGAAAUCCCCGGGCUCAACCUGGGAAUGGCGCUUGUGACUGCAAAGCUAGAGUGCGGCAGAGGGGGAUGGAAUUCCGCGUGUAGCAGUGAAAUGCGUAGAUAUGCGGAGGAACACCGAUGGUGAAGGCAAUCCCCUGGGCCUGCACUGACGCUCAUGCACGAAAGCGUGGGGAGCAAACAGGAUUAGAUACCCCAGUAGUCCCUGUCUCUUAUAC
Molecule: ribosomal RNA, 301 nt
Filed under: uncultured bacterium
Lineage: Bacteria
Description: partial 16S ribosomal RNA
Rfam family: Bacterial small subunit ribosomal RNA
Source: RNAcentral